GACGAACGCUGGCGGCGUGCCUAAUACAUGCAAGUUGAGCGCUGAAGGUUGGUACUUGUACCAACUGGAUGAGCAGCGAACGGGUGAGUAACGCGUGGGGAAUCUGCCUUUGAGCGGGGGACAACAUCUGGAAACGAAUGCUAAUACCGCAUAAAAACUUUAAACACAAGUUUUAAGUUUGAAAGAUGCAAUUGCAUCACUCAAAGAUGAUCCCGCGUUGUAUUAGCUAGUUGGUGAGGUAAAGGCUCACCAAGGCGAUGAUACAUAGCCGACCUGAGAGGGUGAUCGGCCACAAUGGGACUGAGACACGGCCCAAACUCCUACGGGAGGCAGCAGUAGGGGAACUUCGGCAAUGGACGAAAGUCUGACCGAGCAACGCCGCGUGGGGGAAGAAGGUUUUCGGAUCGUAAAACUCUGUUGGUAGAGAAGAACGUUGGUGGGAGGGGAAAGCUCAUCAAGUGACGGUAACUACCCAGAAAGGGACGGCUAACUACGUG
RNAcentral lists this ribosomal RNA (497 nucleotides) under uncultured bacterium. Its description in RNAcentral is "partial 16S ribosomal RNA". It matches the Rfam family "Bacterial small subunit ribosomal RNA", at positions 28 to 507 of the family's 1533-position model. The record is from RNAcentral.